This 429-nucleotide ribosomal RNA is filed under the name Chloroflexota bacterium. Its description in RNAcentral is "Chloroflexi bacterium partial 16S ribosomal RNA". It matches the Rfam family "Bacterial small subunit ribosomal RNA", at positions 355 to 776 of the family's 1533-position model. The record is from RNAcentral. Lineage: Bacteria; Bacillati; Chloroflexota.
UGGGGAAUAUUGCACAAUGGGCGCAAGCCUGAUGCAGCCAUGCCGCGUGUAUGAAGAAGGCCUUCGGGUUGUAAAGUACUUUCAGUCGGGAGGAAGGGAGUAAAGUUAAUACCUUUGCUCAUUGACGUUACCCGCAGAAGAAGCACCGGCUAACUCCGUGCCAGCAGCCGCGGUAAUACGGAGGGUGCAAGCGUUAAUCGGAAUUACUGGGCGUAAAGCGCACGCAGGCGGUUGAUUGAGUCAGAUGUGAAAUCCCCGGGCUUAACCCGGGAAUUGCAUCUGAUACUGGUCAGCUAGAGUCUUGUAGAGGGGGGUAGAAUUCCAUGUGUAGCGGUGAAAUGCGUAGAGAUGUGGAGGAAUACCGGUGGCGAAUGCGGCCCCCUGGACAAAGACUGACGCUCAGGUGCGAAAGCGUGGGGAGCAAACAGG